RNAcentral lists this ribosomal RNA (273 nucleotides) under uncultured bacterium. RNAcentral's name for it is "partial 16S ribosomal RNA". It matches the Rfam family "Bacterial small subunit ribosomal RNA", at positions 524 to 796 of the family's 1533-position model. The record is from RNAcentral.
UACGUAGGCAGCGAGCGUUGUUCGGAGUUACUGGGCGUAAAGGGUGUGUAGGCGGUUCUCUAAGUUUGGUGUGAAAUCUCCCGGCUCAACCGGGAGGGUGCGCCGAAAACUGGAGGGCUAGAGUGCGGGAGGGGAGAGUGGAAUUCCUGGUGUAGCGGUGAAAUGCGUAGAUAUCAGGAGGAACACCGGUGGUGUAGACGGCUCUCUGGACCGUAACUGACGCUGAGACACGAAAGCGUGGGUAGCAAACAGGAUUAGAAACCCCCGUAGUCC